This is a long non-coding RNA of Triplophysa rosa, 1788 nucleotides long. RefSeq lists it as uncharacterized. Lineage: Eukaryota; Metazoa; Chordata; Actinopteri; Cypriniformes; Nemacheilidae. The record is from RefSeq and is a predicted model, not a curated record. The transcript has 3 exons.
UGUGUGUGAACUGCUAUAAAAAGCAAGGUCACAUCACAGGAAAGAAGUAAAACCAGUCAAAUCACUUUCUCCAGUUACCGAAUGCGACAUAGACGUUUUUUCUCCAUUUUCUUUCCCUGGCUGAUGCAGGCAAUCGUUGCUGCGAUUACUGGGAAUCAGAUUUGAGAUUUCAGUAGCUGUUUUCUGCAUUCAUUUUAAUGCAAAAAUCUGAAGUAGUUUUAGAACCAGGAGCAAACAGAUCUCCCUCAACUCACGUCUGUUUUAGUUGUGGUGUAAUUCUGUUGAAUUCUUCUAAAAGAAGUUCAGACAUUAAGGAUGACAAGAGAUAUGAACAAGACGACAGUGAAAGAACCAAAUGUAAUGAAAGGAAAGCAGAGAAAGAAAGCAUUGGGAGAUAAGGCCAAACUCACAGAAAAACAAGGAGCGGUGGAGGACAGAGCAGAAUUUACCCGUGUCAUCAGAGAACAUUUGAAAGUGGAGCAAAAGAACAGCAUUGAUCUAUUUUUUCGACCAAAUUACUGAUCUGUGACUCGUUCUGAUGUCUGAGACAGAAGAUGAGCUUCAUCUCAUUCUUCAGUCCCACACAGAUGUUCAUAUAAAGCACCAAUAUUUUCCUCCGGAAAUGCUCAGAUUCAGUACUAGUAUUGUAUCUGUACCGUGUACAUAUAGGUUAAAAAUACUGUACUAUUUUUUUUAGAUUUGACUACACAUCACACUUAAAACAAAGCAUUAAAUUACAUGAGACAUUGUGUUUGUGUGGCGGAGAAGAAGAGAGAUCCCUGAAUCUAUGAACAAAUCUUGACCUUCCGUUCUCUGAAUUCUAAAUUCUAGAUUUACAUGUGAUUUAAAAAAAAGAUUUUCAAACAUAUUUAUGCUUUGCAAAGUAUUCGUGUUCAAGUGCACGGUGAUGAAAUCAUUUGUAUGUCACACAUUUUAAACGUCUAUUAUUCCAUCCAGAAAAGAAAGUGAUGACUUUGUGUAAGGUGAUGAAAGUCUGUUUAUGCUUCAUAUGUGGAGUAAUGUUCCAUUACACUGUAUUCUGUUAAAGCUGAACCUGUAAACACAUGAUGUACAGUAUGUGUCUUAACCUGUGCAGUUUUUUGCACUUAAAAUAAGACGUUAAACUAAAAAAAUUUGCAAAAUGUAAAAAUUCUGAAGAUGAUCAUUAUGUAACAAACAGUAAAUAAAUUAAGAGUUUGCAGUUUGAUUGAUAUUAAUUGGUAUGCACAAUAAAAAAACAUGAUUUUUAUGCUUUUUAAAAACGUAGUCAUCUCAUUUUGGAAAUAAACUCUUCAAAUGUUGAUUGAUAUUAAAUGCCAACAAAGGGUUAGGGUUAACAGGAAAUGAUGUCAUCACUAGACAGGAGCAGACGUCUGAUUUCAUCAUGCCCUUCGUGUAAAACGUUCAGAUUUAUAUACAGAUCUAAAUUUAUGCAUUGUUAAAACUUCCUUAUGCUGACAAAAGUUUAUGUCACAGAUUUAUAUCUUAAACUCACAGCCGUUUACUUGUUUACAAACACAGUCAUUCUGUGUCAUUCUGGUUUAACGGCAUUUCUACAGUUUUCUAUAGGGAAAAUCCCCUGUCGUCGAUCUGCCUUCAACAUUCAAUCCUUCAUCAAUCUGAUCAGGUUCUUGGUGUAUUUUCUUGACCAGACUUUACUAAUGGUGCUGUGAGAACAGAACUGCAUGUACAAUACUCAAAUAAAGUCUGAUUAGAAUCAUGUAAUACAAUCAUCUCUCAGGACUUCUGUAAUGGCAGAGAGCUUAAGAAGUUUGUUGGAGUUGUGAG